This 203-nucleotide long non-coding RNA is filed under the name Mytilus galloprovincialis (Mediterranean mussel). The record is from RNAcentral. Lineage: Eukaryota; Metazoa; Mollusca; Bivalvia; Mytilida; Mytilidae.
GUGACAGAGUCUUUUCUUUACAAAAAGAAAAACUGCUAGAAAUUCAUGGCUAUGUUCAGAAUCCUUUUUGGAAAGAUGUAUUACUUUGCUUACAUACUGCAAAGUCUUAUACUAAGGCUUGUACAAAUGAUAUAUUAUCGCUAGAUAUUUUAAAUUUUGUGCCAAUUUCAGAUUACACUAUUUAUAUGCAAUGGAAGGACUUU